CAAAGUCUGAGUGUUGACAUGUAGCAGCAAAAGCUAGCCUGGCUCUUUGCCUCGGAAGGAAGGGAGCUACCAGCCAAGUUGGCUGCAGGGGGUAAGGCCGGGAACUGCAGGGGCUAGAGAAUUCCAGACAGGAGGCCCCAGUGGGAACCUGGAACCUGGAGGUGGGUGGAAGCCCUUGUCUCAGCUGCCUGUGAAGCAUUUGCAGGGUUAGUGUUAUUUUUCUGCUUCUCUCUAACCUGGUGAAGUGUGUAGCAUGAGCCCAUUUCACAGACGCGGAAGCUGACUUCAGCC
Molecule: long non-coding RNA, 291 nt
Filed under: Homo sapiens (human)
Lineage: Eukaryota; Metazoa; Chordata; Mammalia; Primates; Hominidae
Description: non-protein coding lnc-TTLL1-2:1
Source: RNAcentral